UACGUAGGGUGCAAGCGUUAAUCGGAUUACUGGGCAUAAAGCGUGCGCAGGCGGUUAUGUAAGACAGGUGUGAAAUCCCCGGGCUCAACCUGGGAACUGCAUUUGUGACUGCAUCGCUGGAGUGCGGCAGAGGGGGAUGGAAUUCCGCGUGUAGCAGUGAAAUGCGUAGAUAUGCGGAGGAACACCGAUGGCGAAGGCAAUCCCCUGGGCCUGCACUGACGCUCAUGCACGAAAGCGUGGGGAGCAAACAGG
RNAcentral lists this ribosomal RNA (252 nucleotides) under uncultured bacterium. RNAcentral describes it as "partial 16S ribosomal RNA". It matches the Rfam family "Bacterial small subunit ribosomal RNA", at positions 524 to 776 of the family's 1533-position model. The record is from RNAcentral.